GCGAACGCUGGCGGCAGGCCUAACACAUGCAAGUCGAACGAACUCUUCGGUGUUAGUGGCGGACGGGUGAGUAACACGUGGGAACGUGCCGUUUGGUUCGGAAUAACUCAGGGAAACUUGUGCUAAUACCGAAUGUGCCCUUCGUGGGAAAGAUUUAUCGCCAUUAGAGCGGCCCGCGUCUGAUUAGCUAGUUGGUGAGGUAACGACGCACCAAGGCGUCGAUCAGUAGCUGGGCUGAGAGGAUGACCAGCCACACUGAGACUGAGACACGGCCCGGACUCUUACGGGAGGCAGCAGUGGGGAAUCUUGCGCAAUGGGCGAAGGGAUGACGCAGCCAGGCCGCGUGAAUGAUGAAGGUCUUAGGAUUGUAAAAUUCUUUCACCGGGGACGAUAAUGACGGUACCCGAAGAAGAAGCCCCGGCUAACUUCGUG
RNAcentral lists this ribosomal RNA (432 nucleotides) under uncultured bacterium. RNAcentral's name for it is "partial 16S ribosomal RNA". It matches the Rfam family "Bacterial small subunit ribosomal RNA", at positions 29 to 507 of the family's 1533-position model. The record is from RNAcentral.